CCUGCCGCUUGAGGUGUUACAGGUGUGGCUGCUGUGUCAUAUGAGCGUCGGCAGGUGGCAGAGAGGAGAGAGGCUAUGUCAAUGUUCAGUGUUCUCCCCUAUGAACAUCUGAAUGAUUAGGAACCUUACAUU
Psammomys obesus (fat sand rat) is the source of this 132-nucleotide small nucleolar RNA. RefSeq annotates it as small nucleolar RNA SNORA17. The transcript has a single exon. The record is from RefSeq and is a predicted model, not a curated record. NCBI's taxonomy places the organism in Eukaryota, Metazoa, Chordata, Mammalia, Rodentia, Muridae.